Non-coding RNA from Leclercia adecarboxylata, 57 nucleotides. NCBI's taxonomy places the organism in Bacteria, Pseudomonadati, Pseudomonadota, Gammaproteobacteria, Enterobacterales, Enterobacteriaceae. The record is from Rfam.
CGCUAUACUAGCCGCGUAAAUAACCGGCUCAACGCUACGAGCGGGUACUCAAUGUCU